Molecule: transfer RNA, 77 nt
Filed under: Papillibacter sp.
Lineage: Bacteria; Bacillati; Bacillota; Clostridia; Eubacteriales; Oscillospiraceae
Description: tRNA-Val
Rfam family: tRNA
About the family: Transfer RNA (tRNA) molecules are approximately 80 nucleotides in length.
Source: RNAcentral
GGAGGCUUAGCUCAGCUGGUUAGAGCGCAUGCUUCACACGCAUGAGGUCGCGCGUUCGAGCCGCGCAGUCUCCACCA